Molecule: ribosomal RNA, 601 nt
Filed under: uncultured bacterium
Lineage: Bacteria
Description: bacterial SSU rRNA
Rfam family: Bacterial small subunit ribosomal RNA
Source: RNAcentral
CCUACGGGAGGCAGCAGUAGGGAAUCUUCCGCAAUGGACGAAAGUCUGACGGAGCAACGCCGCGUGAACGAUGAAGGCCUUCGGGUCGUAAAGUUCUGUUGUUAGGGAAGAACAAGUGCUAGUUAAAUAAGCUGGCACCUUGACGGUACCUAACCAGAAAGCCACGGCUAACUACGUGCCAGCAGCCGCGGUAAUACGUAGGUGGCAAGCGUUGUCCGGAAUUAUUGGGCGUAAAGCGCGCGCAGGCGGUUUCUUAAGUCUGAUGUGAAAGCCCCCGGCUCAACCGGGGAGGGUCAUUGGAAACUGGGAAACUUGAGUGCAGAAGAGGAAAGUGGAAUUCCAAGUGUAGCGGUGAAAUGCGUAGAGAUUUGGAGGAACACCAGUGGCGAAGGCGACUUUCUGGUCUGUAACUGACGCUGAGGCGCGAAAGCGUGGGGAGCAAACAGGAUUAGAUACCCUGGUAGUCCACGCUGUAAACGAUGAGUGCUAAGUAGUUAGUAGGGUUUCGGUCCCUUACGUUGCUGAAGUUAACGUCAUUAAGUCACUCCGCCCUGGGGAGGUACGGUUCGCAAGACUGAAACUUAAAGUAGAAUUCGGACGG